GCCGGAGUGGUGGAACUGGUAGACGCGCCGGACUCAAAAUCCGGUGAGGGCAACCUCGUGCGGGUUCGAUUCCCGCCUCCGGCACCA
Molecule: transfer RNA, 87 nt
Filed under: Burkholderiales bacterium
Lineage: Bacteria; Pseudomonadati; Pseudomonadota; Betaproteobacteria; Burkholderiales
Also listed under: 4 other names
Description: tRNA-Leu
Rfam family: tRNA
About the family: Transfer RNA (tRNA) molecules are approximately 80 nucleotides in length. Their secondary structure includes four short double-helical elements and three loops (D, anti-codon, and T loops). Further hydrogen bonds mediate the characteristic L-shaped molecular structure. tRNAs have two regions of fundamental functional importance: the anti-codon, which is responsible for specific mRNA codon recognition, and the 3' end, to which the tRNAs corresponding amino acid is attached (by aminoacyl-tRNA synthetases). tRNAs cope with the degeneracy of the genetic code in two manners: having more than one tRNA (with a specific anti-codon) for a particular amino acid; and 'wobble' base-pairing, i.e. permitting non-standard base-pairing at the 3rd anti-codon position.
Source: RNAcentral